GGGUCUGUAGCUCAGUUGGUUAGAGCGCACCCCCCUGAUAAGGGUGAGGUCGGCAGUUCAAAUCUGCCCAGACCCACCA
This 79-nucleotide transfer RNA is filed under the name Halomonas alkalicola. RNAcentral's name for it is "tRNA-Ile". It matches the Rfam family "tRNA". From Rfam's summary of the family: Transfer RNA (tRNA) molecules are approximately 80 nucleotides in length. Their secondary structure includes four short double-helical elements and three loops (D, anti-codon, and T loops). Further hydrogen bonds mediate the characteristic L-shaped molecular structure. tRNAs have two regions of fundamental functional importance: the anti-codon, which is responsible for specific mRNA codon recognition, and the 3' end, to which the tRNAs corresponding amino acid is attached (by aminoacyl-tRNA synthetases). tRNAs cope with the degeneracy of the genetic code in two manners: having more than one tRNA (with a specific anti-codon) for a particular amino acid; and 'wobble' base-pairing, i.e. permitting non-standard base-pairing at the 3rd anti-codon position. Lineage: Bacteria; Pseudomonadati; Pseudomonadota; Gammaproteobacteria; Oceanospirillales; Halomonadaceae. The record is from RNAcentral.